ACGGGUGAGUAAUGCCUAGGAAUCUGCCUGGUAGUGGGGGAUAACGUUCGGAAACGGACGCUGAUACCGCAUACGUCCUACGGGAGAAAGCAGGGGACCUUCGGGCCUUGCGCUAUCAGAUGAGCCUAGGUCGGAUUACCUAGUUGGUGAGGUAAUGGCUCACCAAGGCGACCAUCCGUAACUGGUCUGAGAGGAUGAUCAGUCACACUGGAACUGAGACACGGUCCAUACUCCUACGGGAGGCAGCAAUGGGGAAUAUUGGACAAUGGGCGAAAGCCUGAUCCAGCCAUGCCGCGUGUGUGAAGAAGGUCUUCGGAUUGUAGAGCAUUUACGUUGUGAGGAAGGGCAGUUACCUAAUACGUGAUUGUUUUGACGUUACCGACAGAAUAAGCACCGGCUAACUCUGUGCCAGCAGCCGCGGUAAUACAGAGGGUGCAAGCGUUAAUCGGAAUUACUGGGCGUAAAGCGCGCGUAGGUGGUUUGUUAAGUUGGAUGUGAAAUCCCCGGGCUCAACCUGGGAACUGCAUUCAAAACUGACUGACUAGAGUAUGGUAGAGGGUGGUGGAAUUUCCUGUGUAGC
RNAcentral lists this ribosomal RNA (580 nucleotides) under Pseudomonas sp. StFLB211. RNAcentral describes it as "bacterial SSU rRNA". It matches the Rfam family "Bacterial small subunit ribosomal RNA", at positions 102 to 679 of the family's 1533-position model. Lineage: Bacteria; Pseudomonadati; Pseudomonadota; Gammaproteobacteria; Pseudomonadales; Pseudomonadaceae. The record is from RNAcentral.